UUGGUCAAUGGAGGCAACUCUGAACCAGCCAUGCCGCGUGCAGGAAGACUGCCCUAUGGGUUGUAAACUGCUUUUAUCCGGGAAUAAACCACAUUACGUGUAGUGUGCUGAAUGUACCGGAAGAAUAAGGAUCGGCUAACUCCGUGCCAGCAGCCGCGGUAAUACGGAGGAUCCAAGCGUUAUCCGGAUUUAUUGGGUUUAAAGGGUGCGUAGGCGGCCUGUUAAGUCAGGGGUGAAAGACGGUAGCUCAACUAUCGCAGUGCCCUUGAUACUGAUGGGCUUGAAUGGACUAGAGGUAGGCGGAAUGAGACAAGUAGCGGUGAAAUGCAUAGAUAUGUCUCAGAACACCGAUUGCGAAGGCAGCUUACUAUGGUCUUAUUGACGCUGAGGCACGAAAGCGUGGGGAUCAAACAGGAUUAGAUACCCUGGUAGUCCACGCCCUAAACGAUGAACACUCGCUGUUGGCGAUACACAGUCAGCGGCUAAGCGAAAGCGUUAAGUGUUCCACCUGGGGAGUACGCCCGCAAGGGUGAAACUCAAAGGAAUUGACGGGGGCCCGCACAAGCGGAGGAGCAUGUGGUUUAAUUCGAUGAUACGCGAGGAACCUUACCCGGGCUUGAAAGUUAGUGAAUGAUCUAGAGAUAGAUCAGUCCGCAAGGACACGAAACUAGGUGCUGCAUGGCUGUCGUCAGCUCGUGCCGUGAGGUGUUGGGUUAAGUCCCGCAACGAGCGCAACCCCUAUGUUUAGUUGCCAGCACGUAAUGGUGGGGACUCUAAACAGACUGCCUGUGCAAACAUUGAGGAAGGAGGGGACGACGUCAAGUCAUCAUGGCCCUUACGUCCGGGGCUACACACGUGCUACAAUGGAUGGUACAGAGGGCAGCUACAUAGCAAUAUGAUGCGAAUCUCACAAAGCCAUUCACAGUUCGGAUUGGGGUCUGCAACUCGACCCCAUGAAGUUGGAUUCGCUAGUAAUCGCGUAUCAGCAAUGACGCGGUGAAUACGUUCCCGGGCCUUGUACACACCGCCCGUCAAGCCAUGGAAGCUGGGGGUACC
Molecule: ribosomal RNA, 1056 nt
Filed under: Pedobacter soli
Lineage: Bacteria; Pseudomonadati; Bacteroidota; Sphingobacteriia; Sphingobacteriales; Sphingobacteriaceae
Description: bacterial SSU rRNA
Rfam family: Bacterial small subunit ribosomal RNA
Source: RNAcentral